UACGUAGGGUGCGAGCGUUAAUCGGAAUUACUGGGCGUAAAGCGUGCGCAGGCGGUUCGUUGUGUCGGCGGUGAAAGCCCCGGGCUCAACCUAGGAAUGGCCGUUGAAACUGGCGAACUGGAGUGUGGCAGAGGGGGGUGGAAUUCCGCGUGUAGCAGUGAAAUGCGUAGAGAUGCGGAGGAACACCGAUGGCGAAGGCAGCCCCCUGGGCUGACACUGACGCUCAGGCACGAAAGCGUGGGUAGCAAACAGG
RNAcentral lists this ribosomal RNA (253 nucleotides) under uncultured bacterium. Its description in RNAcentral is "partial 16S ribosomal RNA". It matches the Rfam family "Bacterial small subunit ribosomal RNA", at positions 524 to 776 of the family's 1533-position model. The record is from RNAcentral.